Betta splendens (Siamese fighting fish) is the source of this 1138-nucleotide long non-coding RNA. RefSeq lists it as uncharacterized. The transcript is spliced from 3 exons. The record is from RefSeq and is a predicted model, not a curated record. Lineage: Eukaryota; Metazoa; Chordata; Actinopteri; Anabantiformes; Osphronemidae.
CUCUUUAAUGGCUCUGAUGAGUUUGUGGCAAGGAAAGCGCGCGAGGUCGAACUAUUCUACAUACAGUGGCUUCACUAAAGUGCUCAGCAUCUCCAACGUUAUAAGGAAAACUACCGUUUGCAAAAAAACGUAACGCAAAAUAAAGAAUCUGCUCGGAUGUAAAAGUACGGCCACGACGGGCGACGUGUCUGAUGUAUGGGUGGAUAAGAUUAUUAAUAUACGUUAUGGAGUCUAGAGAAAAACAGUACCGCUCAAAAAUAAUUGCAAGGUGAUAUGACAGAAAAUUAACUCGUCGCGUCAAAAUCCUCUCACGGCGUAAAUUCAAUGCUGUGCGAAUUAAUACAGCCUCCUCAUCUACAGGAUCCUCUAGAAACGGACGUGGCAUUUUGGUCUCUUUAAAUACCUCGUUUAAUCUUUCAGUACAUUCAUAGAUUUUACCUGUUUCCUUCGCGCAGUGUUCACUUUAAAAAGGGGCGGAGACCGAAAGAAAACUCAGGGUUUCCCGAAUAAAACCUGCUCGCGACCAGGUUUGGUUCACAGAGUAAGUUGCCAUAGUAACUGACUCUGGGUUUCGGUUACCUCGCUUCUUGAAACGGGUUUAAACUUACCCCGCGUUACGGGUUUAAGUAACCUCGCUUUCUGAAACCGAAAACUGAGUUUUCCUCAUUUCGGGGUUAACAAACUCAGAGUUUCCACAAAACCUCCUUCUUGAAACGGGCCCCUGUGUUGCGUUACGUUUUUUGUUGCAAACAGUAGUUUUCUUUAUAACGUUGGAGAUGCUGAGCACAUUAGUAAAGCCACUGUAUGUAGAAUAGUUCGACCUCAAGCGCUUUCCUCGACACAAACUCCUCAGAACCAUUAUAGAGGAGUUUCACAGGAUUGCAGAUCAUAUGUGAUGCUACACAAGUGGCCCAGCUCUGGUCAUGACUCAUGAAUAUAUCGUGAGUCAACCCUAAGUAACAGACUGCACUGUGUAGGAGAGAUUGACGGCUUUCUGCUGGAGAUAGGGGUCACCCAUGCCAGCCCACACUACUGACCCCUCACCCAGAACCUGAAGCAGGCCCCCAGCAGUGCUUUAAUUUGGCCCUGCAGAACAAGAGCCUGGGUGGAAAUGACCGUAGGCCUGUUUAAAGCACGU